GAUGAACGCUAGCGGCAGGCCUAAUACAUGCAAGUCGAGGGGUAGAAGAGGCUUGCUUCUUUGAGACCGGCGCACGGGUGCGUAACGCGUAUGCAACCUACCUUCAUCUGGGGGAUAGCCCGGAGAAAUCCGGAUUAAUACCGCAUAAAAUCACAGGAUGGCAUUAUCCAAUGAUCAAACAUUUAUGGGAUGGAGAUGGGCAGGGGUGUCAUUAGUUAGUUGGCGGGGUAACGGCCCACCAAGGCGACGAGGACUAGGGGAACUGAGAGGAUGGCCCCCCACACUGGUACUGAGACACGGACCAGACUCCUACGGGAGGCAACAGUAAGGAAUAUUGGUCAAUGGAGGCAACUCUGAACCAGCCAUGCCGCGUGCAGGAAGACUGCCCUAUGGGUUGUAAACUGCUUUUAUUCGGGAAUAAGCCUUAUUACGUGUAAUAAGCUGAAUGUACCGAAGGAAUAAGGAUCGGCUAACUCCGUGCCAGCCGCCGCUGUAA
RNAcentral lists this ribosomal RNA (496 nucleotides) under uncultured bacterium. RNAcentral describes it as "partial 16S ribosomal RNA". It matches the Rfam family "Bacterial small subunit ribosomal RNA", at positions 28 to 523 of the family's 1533-position model. The record is from RNAcentral.